This 446-nucleotide ribosomal RNA is filed under the name uncultured bacterium. Its description in RNAcentral is "partial 16S ribosomal RNA". It matches the Rfam family "Bacterial small subunit ribosomal RNA", at positions 338 to 795 of the family's 1533-position model. The record is from RNAcentral.
CCUACGGGCGGCAGCAGUCGAGAAUCAUUCACAAUGGGGGAAACCCUGAUGGUGCGACGCCGCGUGGGGGAAUGAAGGUCUUCGGAUUGUAAACCCCUGUCAUGUGGGAGCAAAUUAAAAAGAUAGUACCACAAGAGGAAGAGACGGCUAACUCUGUGCCAGCAGCCGCGGUAAUACAGAGGUCUCAAGCGUUGUUCGGAAUCACUGGGCGUAAAGCGUGCGUAGGCUGUUUCGUAAGUCGUGUGUGAAAGGCGCGGGCUCAACCCGCGGACGGCACAUGAUACUGCGAGACUGGAGUAAGGGAGGGGGAACCGGAAGUCUCGGUGUAGCAGUGAAAUGCGUAGAUAUCGAGAGGAACACUAGUGGCGAAGGCGGGUUCCUGGACAUUAACUGACGCUGAGGCACGAAGGCCAGGGGAGCGAAAGGGAUUAGAUACCCCAGUAGUC